ACGGGAGGCAGCAGUGGGGAAUAUUGCACAAUGGGGGAAACCCUGAUGCAGCGACGCCGCGUGAGCGAAGAAGUAUUUCGGUAUGUAAAGCUCUAUCAGCAGGGAAGAAAAUGACGGUACCUGACUAAGAAGCUCCGGCUAAAUACGUGCCAGCAGCCGCGGUAAUACGUAUGGAGCAAGCGUUAUCCGGAUUUACUGGGUGUAAAGGGAGCGUAGACGGAACAGCAAGUCUGAUGUGAAAGGCAGGGGCUCAACUCCUGGACUGCAUUGGAAACUGUUGAUCUUGAGUGUCGGAGAGGUAAGCGGAAUUCCUAGUGUAGCGGUGAAAUGCGUAGAUAUUAGGAGGAACACCAGUGGCGAAGGCGGCUUGCUGGACGAUAACUGACGUUGAGGCUCGAAAGCGUGGGGAGCAAACAGGAUUAGAUACCCUGGUA
Molecule: ribosomal RNA, 434 nt
Filed under: uncultured Roseburia sp.
Lineage: Bacteria; Bacillati; Bacillota; Clostridia; Lachnospirales; Lachnospiraceae
Description: partial 16S ribosomal RNA
Rfam family: Bacterial small subunit ribosomal RNA
Source: RNAcentral